Molecule: ribosomal RNA, 390 nt
Filed under: uncultured bacterium
Lineage: Bacteria
Description: bacterial SSU rRNA
Rfam family: Bacterial small subunit ribosomal RNA
Source: RNAcentral
AUUGAACGCUGGCGGCAUGCCUUACACAUGCAAGUCGAACGGCAGCACGGGAGCUUGCUCCUGGUGGCGAGUGGCGAACGGGUGAGUAAUGCAUCGGAACGUGCCCUGAAGUGGGGGAUAACGUAGCGAAAGUUACGCUAAUACCGCAUAUUCUGUGAGCAGGAAAGCAGGGGAUCUUCGGACCUUGCGCUUUUGGAGCGGCCGAUGUCGGAUUAGCUAGUUGGUGGGGUAAAGGCCCACCAAGGCGACGAUCCGUAGCGGGUCUGAGAGGAUGAUCCGCCACACUGGAACUGAGACACGGUCCAGACUCCUACGGGAGGCAGCAGUGGGGAAUUUUGGACAAUGGGCGCAAGCCUGAUCCAGCCAUGCCGCGUGAGUGAAGAAGGCCUU